Molecule: ribosomal RNA, 497 nt
Filed under: uncultured bacterium
Lineage: Bacteria
Description: partial 16S ribosomal RNA
Rfam family: Bacterial small subunit ribosomal RNA
Source: RNAcentral
GAUGAACGCUGGCGGCGUGCCUAAUACAUGCAAGUCGAGCGAACAGACGAGGAGCUUGCUCCUCUGACGUUAGCGGCGGACGGGUGAGUAACACGUGGAUAACCUACCUAUAAGACUGGGAUAACUUCGGGAAACCGGAGCUAAUACCGGAUAAUAUAUUGAACCGCAUGGUUCAAUAGUGAAAGACGGUUUUGCUGUCACUUAUAGAUGGAUCCGCGCCGCAUUAGCUAGUUGGUAAGGUAACGGCUUACCAAGGCAACGAUGCGUAGCCGACCUGAAAGGGUGAUCGGCCACACUGGAACUGAGACACGGUCCAGACUCCUACGGGAGGCAGCAGUAGGGAAUCUUCCGCAAUGGGCGAAAGCCUGACGGAGCAACGCCGCGUGAGUGAUGAAGGUCUUCGGAUCGUAAAACUCUGUUAUUAGGGAAGAACAAAUGUGUAAGUAACUAUGCACGUCUUGAUGGUACCUAAUCAGAAAGCCACGGCUAACUACGUG